AUUGAACGCUGGCGGCAUGCUUUACACAUGCAAGUCGGACGAGUGGCGGACGGGUGAGUAAUGCUUGGGAAUCUAGCUUAUGGAGGGGGAUAACUACGGGAAACUGUCGCUAAUACCGCGUACCAUAGGAUGAGCCCAAGUGGGAUUAGGUAGUUGGUGAGGUAAAGGCUCACCAAGCCGACGAUCUCUAGCUGGUCUGAGAGGAUGACCAGCCAAACUGGGACUGAGACACGGCCCAGACUCCUACGGGAGGCAGCAGUGGGGAAUAUUGCGCAAUGGGGGCAACCUGACGCAGCCAUGCCGCGUGAAUGAAGAAGGCCUUCGGGUUGUAAAGUUCUUUCGGUAGCGAGGCGUUAACUACAGAAGAAGCACCGGCUAACUCCGUGCCAGCAGCCGCGGUAAUAC
Molecule: ribosomal RNA, 405 nt
Filed under: uncultured bacterium
Lineage: Bacteria
Description: partial 16S ribosomal RNA
Rfam family: Bacterial small subunit ribosomal RNA
Source: RNAcentral